RNAcentral lists this long non-coding RNA (254 nucleotides) under Elaeis guineensis (African oil palm). Its description in RNAcentral is "long non-coding RNA (EGUI_LNC004855)". The record is from RNAcentral. Lineage: Eukaryota; Viridiplantae; Streptophyta; Magnoliopsida; Arecales; Arecaceae.
AUGCUACUCUUCUCUCUCUUUCCUUUCUCAUUUUGUUAAGCUUCUGUUUGAGCAUCUGAUGUCCAAGAUUUAUUCUAUAGCAAGAAUUAUAUGUCCGAGGUUGUUGGUUAGUAUAUAAAUAAUAUUAUCCAUCCAAACAAUAUAUCAAUCCCACCCAUCAGGAAGUAAAAUACCAUAUGUAGAUCAUUUAUUACAAUUUUUAUAUAAUUUUUUUUAUUAUAGUAGCUCUUUUGGUAGUUAAAUAAAAUUAAUCC